This 2355-nucleotide long non-coding RNA is filed under the name Nicotiana benthamiana. RNAcentral's name for it is "long non-coding RNA (NBEN_LNC003683)". The record is from RNAcentral. Lineage: Eukaryota; Viridiplantae; Streptophyta; Magnoliopsida; Solanales; Solanaceae.
UAUAUCUGAUUUUAAUUAAGUAAAAGUAGUCAACACGAUCCUGCAUUUUAUGUGGAAGAGACACUAAAGAAACACACGACCAUUUAUACUUUGAAUGUUUAUACUCCCAAGCACUGUGGCAAGGUAUGUUACAAUGGUUGAAGUAUCAAAGAACGACAGGUACAUGGAAAACAGAAGUGUAAUGGUUAACUGCUAAUGUUAACAGCAGAAACCCCAGAAAAACCAUCCUAGGUGUGGUGUUUGCAGCAGUAGUUUACAACAUCUGGAUGGAAAGGAACANNNNNNNNNNNNNNNNNNNNNNNNNNNNNNNNNNNNNNNNNNNNNNNNNNNNNNNNNNNNNNNNNNNNNNNNNNNNNNNNGAAAAGGAACAACAGAAGGUUUCAACAAUCAAGCAGAGACGCCAAAGAUCGAGCAAAGGAGAUUGCACUUCAAGUGCACUUUACUGGCAUAAAGCUACCUAAAUGGUCACCCAUUUUACAGAACAUUAACAGCUAUCCUUCGUGUGAGUAUCCAAAAUUGUAGCAACUUUCUCUCUGUGAUAGGAUAUUAGCUUAACAACAAUAGUUGUAGAGUUUCAAAUUGAUUGUACUGUUGAGAUCUGUUCUAGAGUCCAAAAGAACAGAUGAUGUAAAUUUGCCAAAUAGUUGAAAUAAAACAAAAAAUUUCUUCUAAAAAAAGUAGUCAACACGAACCCCACAGUCUCACCUAUUUAGUGGUCAAAGAAGACCUUUUAUUAUUACCCCCCUUUUUCCUUUACAUCAUUAUGUAUUAUCCCCCACAAACCCUUGUCCCCUCUUAUUUUAAUUAAAUGUUACGGGCCCACAUUUAAUUAAUUCCCAAAAUACCCCCAAAAUUAUUGAAAAUUAUUAUUCUUUCCCAUCAUCUAUAUCCAAUCUUUCCUAAUCAAUUCAAACAAUUAAUAUCACCAAACAAACUCCUAAUCAACAACAUUCAGGAAUCACUUCAACAAAGUAAGAUUUAUAUCAACAUUUGAAGAUCAUAUUCAUAUUUGAAAAAGAACAAUCUAGUAGAUUUAAAUUACCAAACUCAACAUCAGUUGAACUUCAAAUUAAAAUCAACAGCAUUAUAACCAAGAUGAAAGAUUCAAGUGAUUUAAACUAACACACUUCUAUAUUAAAACUAAACAAGAACAAAUAAAUGAAAAUUGGGUUGGUUAUUGAACCGCCCAUUUAGCGAGAAAUUUAAAACAAACUGAACUAGGAGUGAAUCUUAUCAACACUCUAAAUCAAAACUAUACAAAAAUGUAAGAUUACUGACAGUGAGCUAAAUUCCUAUGGAUUAUCACAUGACACAUCAAAGAGUAUAACCCAUGACAAUCAAAUAAACGAUGAACAAAACUGAAAUACAACUAAGAAAAACAAAUAACAAUAUCAAAAAUAGAACAAAAGAAGAGGAAAAUACCUCAUGAAAUCAGAACAAGGCGAACUCAAGCUUGAACUUAUCCGUUUCCCCUCUGCUAUUUCUCGUCAUUAUUUUGUAUAUUUUUAGGAUUGUUGAUGAUCGGACAAGGUGAAGACGAGGACUGUUGACGAGCAGUUAGUGUUCAACGACGAGCAUGGUGUUAGACGACUCGACUGGGCCGGCGUGACUGCUGAUCGUUUGGUCAUUUGGAUCUAUCUUCAUGGUUGUUUGGAUUGGUCGUUGGUGUGAGUUGACAGAGGAAGAAGAAAACGACGCAGCAGGGGGUGGUCGUUUGGUUGCGUGAAGGAGACAUGAAGGUGGUUCGCUUGAGAUGAAGGUUUUGGAGAUGAUGAAGACGAUCAACGACUGGGUGGUCGACGAUGGGAGGCAGUGUGGGUUCGACUGGUUGGAGAUGAUGACCAGGCAGGGGGUUCGUUUUCGUCGUUUGAUUGGUUAGCGAUAUGGGUGGUCGUUUGGAACAAGGGGUGAAGCAGACUGGUUCGUCGGUGGUCGUGGGUGACGAUGCUGGGCAAUGAAGUGGUCGACUGGACUGCUUCAAACAUUGGUCUGGACGUUUCUGCGUUCUUGUGGAAUUUGGUUGCUCGUGGAGGUUGAUGGGGCAGCAACGUCAUUGCUGGGGUCUUCUGGUCGACGGGCUGUGCGAUGGUGAGAAGCUAGUUGGGUAGUUUUUCGGCGAACUGAGAGUGAUGGGGUGGUGGGGAAGAUGAGGAAGAACGGAGGGGGCAGCAUGGUGGUCAGAAAUGAUGGGUUUCCGACGUGGGGGUGGUUUCUAGCUAAGGUUUUGAGGGUGUGUUUGGAGAAGAUGAAGAGAGGGUGGUGGGUGCUUAGGUGUGACGGCCAGAGAGAGUUUAGGGUGUGUUUAGGGUUAGGUUAUUUGGUUAAAUGAAAAAAGAAUCUGAAAAAUCAAAAGAG